CUCCUACGGGCGGCAGCAGUGGGGAAUCUUGCACAAUGGGGGCAACCCUGAUGCAGCGACGCCGCGUGAACGAUGAAGCCCUUCGGGGUGUAAAGUUCUUUCGACCAAGACGAUAAUGACGGUACUGGUGGAAGAAGCACCGGCUAACUCUGUGCCAGCAGCCGCGGAAUUC
Molecule: ribosomal RNA, 172 nt
Filed under: uncultured bacterium
Lineage: Bacteria
Description: partial 16S ribosomal RNA
Rfam family: Bacterial small subunit ribosomal RNA
Source: RNAcentral